Molecule: ribosomal RNA, 253 nt
Filed under: uncultured bacterium
Lineage: Bacteria
Description: partial 16S ribosomal RNA
Rfam family: Bacterial small subunit ribosomal RNA
Source: RNAcentral
UACGUAGGGUGCGAGCGUUGUCCGGAAUUACUGGGCGUAAAGAGCUCGUAGGCGGUCUGUCGCGUCGGAUGUGAAAACCCAGGGCUCAACCCUGGGCCUGCAUUCGAUACGGGCAGACUAGAGUAUGGCAGGGGAGACUGGAAUUCCUGGUGUAGCGGUGAAAUGCGCAGAUAUCAGGAGGAACACCGGUGGCGAAGGCGGGUCUCAGGGCCAAAACUGACGCUGAGGAGCGAAAGCGUGGGGAGCGAACAGG